Molecule: long non-coding RNA, 1234 nt
Filed under: Aquilegia coerulea
Lineage: Eukaryota; Viridiplantae; Streptophyta; Magnoliopsida; Ranunculales; Ranunculaceae
Description: long non-coding RNA (ACOE_LNC001274)
Source: RNAcentral
CACAUAGAAAACAAGUUUUUUAAUCAAUAAAAGGUAUUUCAUUAAGAAUGAAAAAGGUUACAACCACCCCUCACAAGGGGAGUGAAUCUAGCAAGACACUAAAUUACUCACCCACAAAGAGGUGGCCACAAAAACAUGUACAAGAAACUACCCCGAGCAAUAGAAACAUCUCUAUGCCCUAACAAUAUCUUACCACCCACACAUAAUGUCUUGAUAUUGAACCACCUUAAAAGUAAUAGACUCCCUAGAUCGAUCAUAGAGACAUUCCUUCACUUCCAUGAGAAGUUGCUUUCAUUCUCAAAGACUCUCCUAUUCUGUUCUUUCCAAAUGGUCCGCACCAAAGCCUUCAGAAGAUUAUUUACAAGCCAAGACACUGUGGUUAGAAGUGGGGACCCAUAAGCCUUCUUCCAAUGCCACCCAAAUAUUCACCAGAGCCACACACAUCAAAAGGUAUAAAAAAACUCUGGCCAAAGCCUUCUAGCCAAUUAGCAAUUAACAAGAAGAUGAUCUACUCUCUCUUCUUCCACAUUGCACAUAGGAGUAUAGGACAAGAUAUUUGCACAUCUGCGGCUCCUCAAACCAAGUUGUCUUUUUUUUUGAAUCCUAGUAGGUCUCCCAAGUGAAAAAGCAACUCGGAAGGCCAAAUCCUCUUCCAUGAAAAAUUAGGAAUUAUGUAUUACGCUCCUAGCAUACUCUCAUUGCAUUCCAUGGCAUGAGCCUCCAAGUAAGACUUCACUGUGAAUUAGCACAUGCCCAUAUUUGUUUACAAUAUCAAUAAAAAAUACCAUCUAGAACAUGGCAACUCAGCACAAUUUGGGGCCUAAAGUGAAGACUAACUAGUAACUAACAAGUAUAACAAUCUUAACUUGGGUUUCUUAGCAUUUAUGGACAAAAUUUAAGCUACCAUUUUAAUUAAAAAAUGAUUGAUUUUAAAUUUUAAUACAGAGCAAUGGAUUCAGAUAGAAAAUAAAAAAAAUAAAAAAAAUAAAAAAAGACACAAGUUUAAAGUGAAUUACCUCUUUGGCUGAGGUUAGUUUCGGGAAUUUUUUACAAUUGAGAGAAGAAGAUACUCUUCUUCUUCUUUGAUGGUGGAGAGUUUGAAGGAGAGAAACGGGUGAUAAAGAAGAAGAAGAAGAAGAUAAAGCUUCCAUGAUGAUGAUGAUUUCAAUGGGGGGAAGUUGGGUGGACUUAAAAUUAGACACCCAAGUCCCAAGAUAGGGUGGGUAUGCUUUUG